Molecule: long non-coding RNA, 5073 nt
Filed under: Zea mays
Lineage: Eukaryota; Viridiplantae; Streptophyta; Magnoliopsida; Poales; Poaceae
Description: long non-coding RNA (ZMAY_LNC003711)
Source: RNAcentral
CCAGCCAUAGUCCACUAUGGGGGCGUGGGGAUCCUGGUGUUUUGCUGGUGUUAACCUUCCCCACAGCGACCUAGUUUGCUUCAGCCAGUGCAUCAUGUGACCAUGGUGACCAUGCAACCCGAGUGCUCUUCUCACCGUGGCCAGGUAAUUUCAAGGUUUCCUUAGCCAAGCUAUACAUGUUUUGUGCUCUACAUAAGAUAGAGAAGCUCAUGUGAUGGUGAACAAAUCUCCUUAAGACAGUUUUGUUGGAUGUUAUAUGAAAAUUGGAGUAAAAGUGGUCUACAAUAGGGCUAUCAGAUUUCAGACUUAGUGAAAAUUCUGAGUCUGAAUUUGUAUGUUUUGGUGCAGCUUUGGAGCUCUUUGUUGCUCUAUCCAUAGAGUUAUAGCUUAUGGCCACUAUAACAAAGUUGUAGAUCUGUUAUUGGAGUACAAGUUUGAUUAAGCGAUCUGAUCCAAAAACUAUAUAGAACUAAGUGUAAAGCUUGCUUAAAAGUGGGCUAUCAACUUCUGGGUUUCAGACAGCUAAUUGGCUAUGUCUGAAUUUCAGUAAACUUUAGCCAUGUUUGGACCUUUGUAGUGGCUAACCUGUAGGGAAUUAAAUUAUGUCUCUUAUAGCAAAGCAAUAGAGCUAUAGUAGAAGACCAGGUUUGGUUGAAGGCUAUACCCUAGAAGCUAUUUGGAACUAGGAGAAAAAGUGAGCUAAAGUGGAGCUGGCAGAUUUCUGGAGUUUUAGAUAAAUUCAGUGUUGAUGGCUGUUUUUGGACCGUGUUUGUGGCCAAUUCAUGAAGCUUUGGAUUAUGGUUUUGGUAGAGGAAGUGAAGACCAUAUGGUGGUAAAAAAGUCCCAUUAAGUAAGUUUGGCCUUUUCCUUUUCUAGAGAACUUGUGAAUAGCGCUAAAAAUAGUAGAAAAUUCCAAACAUCAUGGGACAAAUUUUGUUGGAUGUCUAAAAUCAAGAGCUCUCUGGUAAAGUUGGUUUUAGGAUUUUUAGAGCAAUUAGAAAGUAUUAAGUGAAUUAAAGGUGCUUUUGAAAGGACUGUUUGGAUUUUAGAAAUAAAAGUACAAUGGCAAAAAUUGUGGAAAAUUUUGAGUAACCUUGCUUUGGUCUUUGGAGGGUGUGAUAAAGGUUUGAGGCUAUUUGGAAUCCAUUUGCUAUGAGAACUUUGUAAGCCCCAAAAUAGAGUGGUUAAUCCUUAAUCAAGUGUGGGUUAAUGCUUUGGAAAGGAGAUAAGUUUAUCUAGGGAAGAGAUGAAGUUGCUUAAGAAGUUUUAAGCUUUUGGAUGAGAUAUAAGUGGAUUAAUUCCCUGGUUUACCUAAGUGAUUUCAAAUUGGUCACUUUAAUCGAGCGAUAAGAAAUAAGUGUAUUCUUGUCAUGUGCUUUAGUUGUAGUGUUUCUGUUCUCCACCUCUCCUUGUGAGAGUUUGCAUUACAUGGCAUUCAUUCUUAUAUACACCUAUAUAUGGUUAUGUUUAGAAAACGAAGAAGAGAUCGAAGUGACUCAAGAGAAGACAUCACCACCUUUGAAAUCUCAGGCAGGGACUUGGCUCUACUUCGACAUCUGCGAGUCCGAGCCUGACUCGCCUAUAAACAAAGGCAAGCCCCGGUGCAUGCAACCCCUUCCUUGUGUUUUUAAAUACUUUUCGCACACUUAAGUCUAGUGAAAUGUGCAUUAGGUUUAUAGGAGUUGCUCGAAACCCUUUGAUGCAUUGCCUUCCUUGAUAUCCAUACCUUUAUAGAUACUUCUGGUGAAGUAUCAAAAUUUGAUUUACAUAAAUGCUUAGCCCUGCUUAGAUCUUGUGGAUAGAGGUUGUCUUUUGCAAUACUGCCUAGCUCAGGGGUUAUCCUGAGUAAAGAUGACUUCUACCUGCAAGAAUAUAUUUUCAUUGGGAGCAUGGUGGGAUCUUACUGCAAAGUUCCCUGUGAUGCUCUUUUCAUCCUAAGGAACAGAAACAAUCCUAAGGAUGGAAAUACUUAAAUCAAGACUUGGGCUAGGAACAGGUGAUGUUCUACCCAGGUUGAUUAAGGAUUGAAUGCGUAUGUAGGCUUGAUAGAGCAAGGACUAUCUUAGCUAGCCGCAUACCCUGGAAAUGGGACAGGGUAAGCUUUGCCUCGGGCAGACUAAGGCCAGAAUAAGAUAACACGAAAUGGGCGUGGAGCGGUGGCGGGAGUAGCGUGUACCCUCCGUGGCAAGAGGCUGGACGGUGGUGUAUCUGUGCUCUCGGUUUGCGUGAACCUGAUCUGGUCUUAAGAACCCUGGGGUCGAGUUGACAUAUGCAAGGAUUAAGUGCUACAUAUGUCGUGUGGUUAGAGAUCCUCAGCUGAGUAAAUCGAUUCGGAUCGCCGUUAUAUCCCCGGAGAGUGGAGACUUGAUCACUGCCCUACAACCUAAGUCAGGAUGUGAACUUCGUAAAUAAAAAUGAUGUUGUAUUGAUGAGAUGAUGAAAUUAGACUAGAGGCAAACAGAGUCUAUUAAUAUUUAAUCUGGCGUUAAAAUGUUGAAAGUAAGGACUCACUUUAGUAAGCUAUUUCUGCAGAAGUAUCUAAGUUGAUUCUUGCUAAAGCCUCUCCUUGAUUCCUAUUUAUCCAGCAUACCCUUGAGAGUCUUUUCUUUAGUCGGGUAAGACUUGCUGAGUAAUUCCAUACUCAGGGUUUAUCCCUUUGUUGUUUUUAGGUGAGGAAGCGACAAAUUUUUGUUGCUUUUGCUCCAAGGUGGUAUCAAAUGAAGAAAAACAAGAGUGAAGAUGCGGGAGGACGUGGUCCUCCAUAUAGGACUUUUUGUUUAAAGCUAUCGGGAGGAGUUUUUGCCUCCCUUGAUAUGUGUACUACUCAGCACUCGUUUAUAGCUCUGGUCUGUAAUAAGUAACUUGAUCUUACUUUCUAAAUAAAUGUAAGUUUAUGUAAUAGCUUCCGCAUUUCUUUAUCUCCAAUGUUCUGUAAUGUCUGCAAGACGGGUGAAACGUUCCUGGUAAGGUAAGGAAAGAUACCGAACUUGUCAAGUGACUUAGGAACAUCUACAGGGUGCCUGAUGUCUGUUAGACAAGGACAACUGUAGGUGGGCCUAAUUACUUGGGAGGUUCCGUCACAUAUUGCUUCGAAGGACGAAGAGCAUUAACCUUUAACAUUUUGUGUUGCCUUGUUCUUAAUUCAUAGCAUUUGAGAACAAGUCCCCAAAAGAAUUUGCAAAAACAAAACAAGUGGUGCAAAAGUGGUCCAAAAUAUUAAAUAGAAGAAAGAAAUCCAUUCACAUCUAGUAAGAUUAUAAAUUGGUUUAAUUCCAAGCAACCUAUGCACUUAUCUUAUGCAAACUAGUUCAUUUCUGCACUUUAUAUAUUUGCUUUGGUUUGUGUUGGCAUCAAUCACCAAAAAGGGAGAGAUUGAAAGGGAAACAGGGUUAACCUUUUCCCAGUAUUAAUUUUGGUGGUUGAAUGCCCAACACAAAUAUUGGACUAACUAGUUUGCUCUAGAUUAUAAGUUCUGCAGGUGCAUAAAGAUUCAACACAAACCAAUAAAAGAUUGAAGUUAGGGAUCAAAUUCAAAGGAGCAAAGAAACCGAGUGUGCUCUGGUCUGGCGCACCGGACUGUCCGGUGUGCCACCGGACAGUGUCUGGUGCACCAGGUCCAUACAAGAAUGAACUAGCCACUCUCUGGUUUCUCCAGGGGCGCUCCGCUAUAAUUCACCGGACUGUCCGGUGUGCCACCGGACUGUUCGGUGUAACAGCGGAGCAACAACUACUUCACGCAACGAUCGACUACAAAAGCGCGGUGAUCAGAUGAACAGUGAAGAACAGUGCACGUAGAGUCAGAGCCGCAGGUCAGAGGCGCACCGGACACUGAACAGUGCAUGUCCGGUGCGGCACCGGACUGUCCGGUGCCACUAGAGGACAAAGCCUCCAAUGGUCAAAAGCUCUAGAACCCUAACGGUUCGGUGAUGUGGCUGGCGCACCGGACUGUGUCCGGUGGCGAACGGGACUGUCCAGUGUGCCCAUCGACAGUAGCCUGCCCCAAUGGUUGUUUGGUGGUUGAGGGCUAUAAAUACCCCCUAACCACCACCACUCCAAGCAUCCAAGAUUUCUGAGUAUCACACUGAUUACAAGAGCUCUAGCAUUCACUCCUAGACACAAUUCAAAAGAUCAAAUCCUCUCCAAGUCCCCAAUUCAUCUCAAACACUUAGUGACUUGUGAGAGAGAGAUUUUGUGUUCUUUUGAGCUCUUGCCUCUUGGAUUGCCUUAUUCCUUUCUCAUUUCUUUUCUCAAGUGAUUUGUAAUCGAAGCAAGAGGCAGCUAAGUGUGUGGUGGUUCUUGCGGGGUCUAAGUGACCCGGGAGAUUAAGGAAAAGGCUCACUCGGUCUAGGUUACCGUUUGAGAGAGGGAAAGGGUUGAAAGAGACGGUCUUUGUGACCACCUCAACGGGGACUAGGUUCUUUAGAACCGAACCUCGGUAAAACAAAUUACCGUGUUCAUCCGCUUUAUUUCUUGGUUGAUUUGUUUUUCCCUCUCUACCGGACUCGAUUUAAAUUCUAACGCUAACCCCGACUUGUAGUUUGUGCUUUAAGUUGUAAAUUUCAGAUUACACCUAUUCACCCCCCCCCCUCUAGGCGACUUUCAUUACCCAUCUGCCAAGGGGUCAUGAAUCCCAUACACCUCUACCAAGGAAGAGAGGCAGGGUAAUACUACGAGGCCUUUACAAAGUUCCACUAGCUUCAGAAAACCCACUACAGUUUCUAGGAAGCUCCAAUGCAGGGAUCCCUCGCCUGACCGCCAUCGCAGCAAAAUCAACCCAAGAACCUCCCUACACUGACCACUCUCCUACUGCCCUUGCCCAUUUCGGGUAAGGUAGUCAUCCACUAGCUUUCCUAAUUAGUCAGCCAAGGGCAUCCCAUACUACCCUUGUGGUAGCACUGUUUUCCCGGGUGGUUCUCCAUGUUCCCGUUAAUAUAAUGAUCUUAUCAUGAACAUAAAUAACAUAACAUAAUAAUAGGAACAUAGAUAUAAUGAAAUAUUAACCCAAAUCCAUAUAAAGCAAUAGCAUAACUACCCAAUGAUUCAGGGGUAAAUAAGGUAAAAAGAUAAACAGAC